UCUCCGUUGGUGAACCAGCGGAGGGAUCAUUAUAGAGUUUUCUAAACUCCCAACCCUUUGUGAACACAACUUGUUGCUUCGGGGGCGACCCUGCCGUUUCGACGGCGAGCGCCCCCGGGGUCAAUCAAACACUGCAUUCUCUGCGUCGGAGUAUUAGUAAAUCUAAUCAAAACUUUCAACAACGGAUCUCUUGGUUCUGGCAUCGAUGAAGAACGCAGC
This 219-nucleotide unclassified non-coding RNA is filed under the name uncultured fungus. RNAcentral's name for it is "sequence contains ITS1, 5.8S rRNA gene". The stretch from base 171 to 219 matches the Rfam family "5.8S ribosomal RNA", at positions 1 to 49 of the family's 154-position model. Lineage: Eukaryota; Fungi. The record is from RNAcentral.